RNAcentral lists this long non-coding RNA (420 nucleotides) under Setaria viridis. RNAcentral describes it as "long non-coding RNA (SVIR_LNC004784)". Lineage: Eukaryota; Viridiplantae; Streptophyta; Magnoliopsida; Poales; Poaceae. The record is from RNAcentral.
CUUUCAAUCUGCAGCUUCUAUGGGGAUCGUGGGACUCAAUCCAAGUUGUAGGUGAAAUAGCGAAGGCAGCUUUGGGGGUGGCUAAGACUGAUAUCUCUAUUGAGGUACCUGAGGAGGGUGAGGUUGCCAAGGAAAAGAUAAAAUUCCUCAGACCGCUACAAUGGCUAAGUCCUCUACUCAAGAUGUUACUCGAGCAGUGCAUUUGACCCUAAGGGUUAGUAUUUUGAUUAUGUCUCUUGUUUUGUUUGUUCUUUGCUUGCUUGCUUGCUUAUAUGAUGUUUGCUGUUUUGACAGAGUAUGAGAAGUCUUUACGGUGCUAUGACCCUGAUCACUUGGCAAGAAUAAUAGCUACCAUUGAGUAUAAGGUAUUGCUUUUGCAACUAUCGAGAUUUUGGUGGUUUUAGCAAUGCAUUCUUUUUC